CAGGAAUGAAAUAGCUCAGUACAUCCAUAUCCAGUAGCAGUCCCUGCUGUCUGGAAUGAGCAUGUAACCUCUGGCAUUUCUGCAGUUGCAAAGUCAUGGGAGUGGAUGAGAUCACCUUGGGGGUCAGCACAUAUGAGAGAAAGAGAAGUUCAUGGGUAAGAAGAUAAACAGAAAUCAGAAGAGGUGACUAAAGUAGGAGAAGAACCAAAAGAGAGCUAUGUCAUAAGAAGCAAGAGAAAAAGGUGAUCCAAACAUAGAUGUUCCACAAAACUAUGUGACGCUGGCAGGCAAAGGAUAGAGAAUCAUUAGUCCUUGUGUAAAAACCAAGGCGAAGGAGAGCACUCGUAAUAAAAAAAAAGAACAAGCUGGCCUCUGCGGAAAGGUGGGAUGAUGGCUAGACGAGCGUCAUUGCAGCCGUCACCGGUAAGGUGUGCAGGGGACCUCUGCAAUUGCAUUCCAGAAUCUUCUCUCCACUGUCAUCACUUCUAGGGCUCUGCUCUCCAAACCUCAUUGAAAAACAAGCCCGGAAAUACCCUGAAUUGCUGAUCUUCAAUCAGUUCCUCCAGGAGACUUAAGCCCUCCGUGAGCAUGACAUCCCCAAACUACAAAGGGGUGCAAAGCAACUCUGUAUUGCCCAUGUUUUCUCUCUACCAUCUGACCGUGAGUAUUUCCCAACAUAAGCAAGACCAGAUUCUUUGGCCAGAGCAUGUCGGAGUGUUGAAGGAGCAGGGCAGAGAGCCAGGUUGAGGACUGGACCCUGGGAAUGGGUCCAUCCACCCAGACAGUCUGGGUUGGGUUCCUUGUUUCUCAAAUCCCAGCUGCCUAUCCCACCCCCACCCCACCACCCAAGUCCCAGCGAUGAGUACUUCUCUCCUGGAUCGCAGUAAUAGUGGCCACACGAGCCCUGCAUUCACUCCCUGUGGUUCUCAGCCUGCAGCGAUUUGGCCCUCCAGGGACAUCUGGCAAAGUCGGGACACAUUUUUGGUUGCCAUACCUUGGGGCUGGGGCGCUACUGGCGGGGAGGUCAGAUCGCUGCUAAAUAUCCUGCCGUGUAUGGUACGAGACCCCCACCAGAAAGAACUGUCUAGUCCAGAAUGUCAAUAGUGCCAAGAUUUAGAGACCCUGCUUCUCGUUCCCUUGCAGUAUCUUACAUAUAUAACCUUGCUCUUUUCUUUUUCUUCUUUUGAGUAAACUCUACCCAUGAUGUGGAGCUUGAACUCAUGAUCCCAGGAUCAAGCGUCACAUGCUCUACUGACUGAGACAGCCACAGGUCCCAACUAGGCUCCUUCUUAAGAAGAGCAAAUCAGAUCAUGCUUAAAAGCUCUCUGUGGUUUCCCAUUUUUCUUAAUAUGAAGAUUAAAAAAGAAGAUCCUUAGCUCCUUGAACUGCGAUGGGGCACCCACUCUCCCUCUUUUCUGGUAUCUCGUGCAGUAACCAAACUAACUUUAUUCCUUUUUCUUUUUU
Molecule: long non-coding RNA, 1464 nt
Organism: Mustela erminea (ermine)
Lineage: Eukaryota; Metazoa; Chordata; Mammalia; Carnivora; Mustelidae
Exons: 3
Source: RefSeq, a predicted model, not a curated record